Molecule: long non-coding RNA, 377 nt
Organism: Calidris pugnax (ruff)
Lineage: Eukaryota; Metazoa; Chordata; Aves; Charadriiformes; Scolopacidae
Exons: 4
Source: RefSeq, a predicted model, not a curated record
UUUCUCCAGCAUCCCACAGCAUCCGUCCUUCCCAGCUCUGCAGGCUCAGGAGGAUCAUCCAGUGCAACCUUUCUCCCAGGCUUAGGAAACGCGUGGAUCUGACCGUGGGGACAAACAGGGUUGAGCCUGAAGAAAGAAAAUCAAACGGGGCCUGUAGCAGAGCGGCAGAGCCUGACCGCUCAUCUCUGUAAUGCGGAGAAGGAGGAUGGUUUUGAGCCUGAGAGGAUGUAGGAUGAUGCUACUUGAUAAGGUUCCUGUUGUGGGUACUUCCCACUUGAAAUCCUGUCCCUUCGUGUGAGAGCAUCAUAUGAGGAACCUCAGUCCUGCUUUACGGAGCUGUUUACUUGCAGAACAUGCUGACUGGUGCCUGAGGGAAU